GCAGCUGCAGCAUACAUUAAUUUCCAAUAAUUUAUAGCUAAAUAAAUAUAUAUUAAUUAGAUGUGUACCAAAUCAAUAUUUUACAAGUGUUUAUCAAAAAAUAAGAAAUGAAAAAAUAAUUUUCAACACGUACAUUCCAGAUUUUCAGUUAUCACACAACAUAAACAAGAUUACUGGGACAGCUAGCUAGUACAAUCAUUGAAUUGAACCAAGUGCUUCCUUCCUUCCAUUAGCAAGAUUACCCUUUGAGUUUGACUUUUAAACCAAGCUAUGCCUCUUGGACUUGUGUAAUCUAGCUGCAAAAACAUACUACUUCAUUCAUCAAGAUCAUACGUUUGAAGGAGCGGAUGAAAUAGGUAUUGUUUCUACUUGUUCAACUGUCUUUGUAGUUUUCUUCCUUCUGCACCACCAACAACAAAGAGCUAUUGCUUCCAUCACAAAUAUCAAACAUCCAACUGAAGCUCCAACUAGUAAAAAAAGCAUCCAGGGCAGUUCAUUGUCAUCAUUUGUUGUGUUACGAAGCUUAAAUACGCCAACUGUGAAGAUUACCCAACUCGCAAUCUCAAGUAUGAAACCUGCUACCAUCAAAACAACAAAAAGAAUCAUUUUAUUGCUCAUCUUUGAUGAUGUUUCUCCUCUUUUCUCAAUAUAUAUACUCCCUAAGAUCGAGUUUCCUCGCAAGUCUUUGAUCUUUUGUUGAACAAUAUAGCUAGAAAUGAAAACAAAAGCAAAAGCAAAGAUACAAC
Molecule: long non-coding RNA, 746 nt
Filed under: Aquilegia coerulea
Lineage: Eukaryota; Viridiplantae; Streptophyta; Magnoliopsida; Ranunculales; Ranunculaceae
Description: long non-coding RNA (ACOE_LNC000266)
Source: RNAcentral